GUAUCUUGGAGUUAUUGGCUCUUCUGUCCAUCCAUCAGCCGGCGCCGGCUUGCUUCAUGCCUCAUUGGCUGACGGGUGGAAGCGGGGAUUUGGUGGUGGCCGGACAUGGCUGACGGCGGCGGCGGCUGGCAGCCGCCGCGCCCCUGUGAAGCCUACCGCGCCGAGUGGAAGCUGUGCCGCAGCGCCAGGCACUUCCUGCACCACUACUACGUCCACGGCGAGCGGCCGUCCUGCGAGCAGUGGCGGCGCGACCUGGCCCGCUGCCGCGCCUGGGAGGAGCGCCGCAGCGCCGAGGCCCAGCGAUCCCUCUGUGAGAGCGAGCGGGCACGGGUCCAGGCCGCACAGAAGCACGCCCUGGUGUGGACUCCAAGGCAGAGCCCUCCUGCAGACUGGCACCUCCCUCUGCCACAGGAGGAGAAGGACGAGUGACGGGCGCCCCUCCACCCUCGGCCAGUGUGGCUUCAUUGGAUCUGUGACCAGUCCCGUCUAGUGGGUCCUGCCUCCUCCCUCCCGGCUCGAGACAGAGUGGACGCAGGCAGCCUGACCUGUCCACUCUUCACUGCCUCAGGGCUCCUGCCACUGCAAUGCUCUGAAGGUCAAGUGCACCCACCCCACAGCUUCCAGGAAGCCAAGCACUGUGGCAGAGGUUUUACUGCUAAUAAGAUGGUCCAGCGGGCUUCCUGGGUGAAGCUGAGGCCAGACUAGCGGGCUACUGCCAAGUGCCCACCCUCCUCCAGACGGGUACCGAGACGUCAAGUGCUGGGUCAGUGCCCACGGUGGCCAGGGCUGAGCUGGGGCGGAAACCAGGAGCCACACACUCAGCCAGGCAAGGACCCAAGGACUUGAGCCAUCACCUGCUGCCUCCCAAGAUGUGCAUUAGCGGGAAGCUGGGACUCGGGCACUUUGGGGCGGGCUGAGUGUCUUAACUGCUAAUGUGAAACACCCAUCCCUGCGCCGACUUCUGUUCGUUCUCUGGGACAGAAGAGUCUGUUCCUUCAGAAGAGCAUGCCUCGAUGACUCCCUUUCCCUCUCAUGUGCUCCUCUGGCUGCCUGCGAGCCCCUCUGUCUGCUGUGUGCGGGGAGUGUGCGCUCGUAAGGGCCCACAAGCAGCUAAGCCAUCCUGGCUGGUUUGAUAAUGGGCAUUUCUGUACCCACUCUAAAGCACAGGGAGGAGGCCCCUGCACUUUUGCACUCUGCCUGUGAUGCUUGGAACUGCACUUUGGGGUCCCUGGGCCACAGCUGGGGAGCUCGGGAAAGUCUGGGAGCGCCAGCCAGUGUGAGCCAAUCCGUGAGGCGUCCCCCUGACUGCUGCCACACUUCCUGUCACCUGCUGUUGAGAGAUUGAGAUCUGAGCGUUGGCAGCUGUGUGCUCCCUUAGGCAGUGCUCUGCUUCUUGCUGUUUUAUAUCAACAUUCAGGUCCUCCCUCUGUGGUGCUACUGUUGCAUUUUGCCCCCCUUCCUAACCUCUCUGGACACAAUGUUCAUUUAUUUCGGGAUUCAUUCCGUCACAUCCAAGUGCCUACUGGACAGGGAUUGAGGCCCUUGGAUUGCAAUCUAGAAAGACAACAGUUGCCUUCAGAAUUUCUGUUGUAGUUUGGGGGGAAGAUGUAAACAGUAGGGACUGGUGUUGUGGCGCAGAGGGUUAAGCAGCUGCCUGGAACCCCAGGGUCCCAUGAGUGCAGUUUCUUAGCUGCUCCACUUACAAUCCAGCGUCUGCUAAUGUCCCUGGGAAAGCAGCAGCAGAUGGCCCAAGUACUUGGGCUCCUGCCACCAUGUGGGAAACCUGGAAUAUGCUCCUGGCUUCAGACUGGCCCAGCGCUGGUCAUUGUAGCCAUCUGGGGAGUGAACCAGUGGCUGGAAGAUCUUUCUUUCUCUCUGCCUCUGCCUUUCUAAUAAGUAAAAUAAAUCUUUUUCUUAAAGAUUAUUUAUUUAUUUGACAGCCAGAAUUACACAGAUAAGGAGAGGCAGAGAGAGAGGUCUUCCAUCUGCUGGUUCACUCCCCAAUUGGCUGCAAUGGCCAGAGCUGUGCCAAUCUGAAGCCAGGAUCCAGGAACUUCUUCUGGGCCUCCCACACGGGUGCAGGGGCCCAAGGACUUAGGCCAACUUCUGUUGCUU
Lepus europaeus (European hare) is the source of this 2115-nucleotide RNA transcript. It is a transcript of the gene named chromosome 23 C22orf39 homolog, with no coding region annotated. NCBI's taxonomy places the organism in Eukaryota, Metazoa, Chordata, Mammalia, Lagomorpha, Leporidae. The record is from RefSeq and is a predicted model, not a curated record. The transcript is spliced from 4 exons.